GCCUACGGCCAUACCACCCUGUAAGCGCCCGAUCUCGUCUGAUCUCGGAAGCUAAGCAGGGACGGGUUUGGUUAGUACAUGGAUGGGAGACCGCCUGGGAAUACCAGGUGUUGUAGGCU
This is a non-coding RNA of Xenopus tropicalis (tropical clawed frog), 119 nucleotides long. Lineage: Eukaryota; Metazoa; Chordata; Amphibia; Anura; Pipidae. The record is from Rfam.